Eucalyptus grandis is the source of this 523-nucleotide long non-coding RNA. RefSeq lists it as uncharacterized. The transcript has 4 exons. The record is from RefSeq and is a predicted model, not a curated record. Lineage: Eukaryota; Viridiplantae; Streptophyta; Magnoliopsida; Myrtales; Myrtaceae.
UUUACUUCAAUAAAUUUUAUAAUAAAUCCUGCAAAUUUUUCUUCUCAUCCGGUGGAAAUUCCUUUCUUUGUUUAGGUCUAGUCUUUAAUCCCUUUAAAGGAAUAUGUAGAGCUGGGGCACAUUCGGACUUCGGAUUUAUUACCUCGUUGGCGACAGACAAUGUCCUAGAUUUGCAAGAACAAGGUUGCUAAACCUCCGACAUGGGAAUAUGUGCAACAUAUGAGAGGAGCAUUCAUAGUGAAUCUUGGUGAUAUGCUAGAACGAUGGAGCAAUUGUAUUUUCAGGUUUCCAGCUCAUUCUCUCUAAGUUCUGGCACUCUUAACUCUUUCGUCGGGUGGUCCAUGUUGACAAUUCAAAAGUUUUUAGCACGCAUCGACUUUGGAUGCAUCGUCUCUUCAUCUUUCAAGCUUUUAUGUUGAGGCAGCGGACUAAAGUGAUUGACAUAAAUGGACAGGUUUCUAGCAUUGAUUGAGAGCAAUGUUUUCGUCCGUAUGUUCAGUGGCUUCUCGAGGGUUUAUGUCAU